GCAAUUCUUCUUAGUCGUGAUCGAAAAGUCGGAGACUUUAGGACAAUGUCGGCCUCCGACCGAGAGUUCCGGUCAGUUCUCGUUCCCGCCGGUAACAAGCUGCAGCAGACACCGUUGUCAAAGCCGGUGAAGAAGACCGAUAAAUCGAAAGACCUAACCUUUACGGCGUCUCCGGCGAAGAAGAGUUCGUCUCCUCUGAGCCCUUCGAUCCUGAGGAGGAACGGUGUCUCCAUGAACGCAUCGUAUUCCUCGGAGGCGUCGUC
Molecule: long non-coding RNA, 263 nt
Filed under: Brassica rapa (field mustard)
Lineage: Eukaryota; Viridiplantae; Streptophyta; Magnoliopsida; Brassicales; Brassicaceae
Description: long non-coding RNA (BRAP_LNC005580)
Source: RNAcentral